Molecule: long non-coding RNA, 748 nt
Organism: Nannospalax galili (Upper Galilee mountains blind mole rat)
Lineage: Eukaryota; Metazoa; Chordata; Mammalia; Rodentia; Spalacidae
Exons: 2
Source: RefSeq, a predicted model, not a curated record
AUACCCCAAUGGGACCCAGAGCAAUAGCACAAGAUGGCCGGUCUUCAGAAGCAAUGAACAAAAGUACCUAACCUUGAACACAGAGUCGUCAAGAAUACACACUAAGCUCCGUGCCCAACAGUGCCGAUUCUGGACACUGUUUUUUCCAAAAGUCUUGGAAUUGACAGGAAAUAUUGAUGAAGCGGAACAAGAGUGGAAAGCAGGAUUCUAUCGUUGGAGCAAUUACAUGAUGGACUGGAAAAAUCAAUUUAACGAUUACACUAGCAAGAAAGAGAGCUGUAUGGGUCUCUAAUUAAUAGAAUUGCCCUUUAUAGAAUGUUCAUUUUCCUGUAGAAGAAGGCAAAAUACAAGUAGCUCUCUCCACACAUAUGAAGAAAGUUGAAACAGAAAUGCCAGACAAGAUCGAUUCCUCACAUGAGUUCAUUUAGUAUUUUACCUAGCAUUUCAGAAACCAAAUGGCUAGAACACAUUUCAUUAAUUUUCAGAAUAUAAAGCUUGACAGUUAAUUACAUGUGUAAUAAUAUGAUUUGCUGUUUUGAUAUUGCUUCCCUGAAUAACUUUAGGACUUUUUCCCUAAAAGGUAUAGACUCUAUUUUUAUUUGCGUGUGUGUAUUUUCAUUACCACUCGCAUAAAAUAUCUUUUAAAUUUUAAUCAAAUUUAGAACAUGGGAUAUUAUAAUUUAUUGAUUCCUACAAUUAAUUUAUAAAUUUGAUGUCAACCUUGGAUAUUAAAGCAAACCCAAAAAUC